Molecule: small nuclear RNA, 106 nt
Organism: Heterocephalus glaber (naked mole-rat)
Lineage: Eukaryota; Metazoa; Chordata; Mammalia; Rodentia; Bathyergidae
Source: Ensembl
GUUUUCACUUUGGCACCACAUACACUAAAAUUGAAAUGACAGAGAAGAUUAGAAUGGUCACUGAGCGAGCAUAACAUUGGAAAUUUGUGAAGUAUUCCAUAUGUUU